UCUGCUGUAAAGUAUUCGUUUUAUCCAGGGACUGGCUGGACAAUGGAGCUCUCCCUGAUACUUAUGGACAGCUGUCGUCAUUCACCGUGCUUGAUUUACUGCAAAUAUAUUCAGCAUUUGACUGAUUAAAUAGACCUUCGGCAACCUUGAGGGUCACUGUGUAGAGUAUGUACAUAGAAAAUGCAUCAGCCCAUUGUACCCUGGCAGCUAAUGAGAUUGGUCGUUAAGUAAAUGACACAAAGCCCACAAAAAAAGCUUAGCAGCUCACUAGAGUAUCACAGAGUGUCCCUGCACACCACACAACGACACAAACACUGGACUACCCUGGCCCACCCCUGCUUUAUUCUACAUCACUGCUUCCCUGGUGUCAGCAUGAGAGCAGAACAAAGGCAGGAGGUGCGGAGCCCUCAAUUUUGUGAGAUUCCUUGAAAGAUUGUGAAAAGUCCAUUUUACGUGGCUGUGUGCUCAUACCAAGUCUAAGGAAACUGGACCUGAGAGUGAUGUUUGGAGUUUGAAUUAACACCCAAGUUCUGAGAGGAGGCUGCUGGGCAUUGCAUCGGACCAGUCCCACUGGUAAGUGAACUCCAAACGUAGCAGUUGUCUCACAGGGCUUCCAGCAUGAUGACGUUUCAUAUUCGAUUUCCUUGCCCUUUCAUCAAAGUUUUCACUUUGAGUUUAGUCCGGAGGAUUUUUUUUAAUAUAGAAUUUGUUUCUGAGUUGUAAGUAAAUCUAUGGUUCUCUGAUUUAAGGACACAAUUGACAGUUGCAUCUUAGGUCACCUCACCACCACCACCACCAAUAAAAUAUAAUCUGAUAUAGCUCUAAAAAAGUAA
RNAcentral lists this long non-coding RNA (833 nucleotides) under Bos indicus x Bos taurus (hybrid cattle). RNAcentral's name for it is "lncRNA (ENSBIXG00005024394.1)". The record is from RNAcentral. Lineage: Eukaryota; Metazoa; Chordata; Mammalia; Artiodactyla; Bovidae.